GAAUUCACUAGUGAUUCAGGCCUAACACAUGCAAGUCGAGCGAACCCUUCGGGGUGAGCGGCGGACGGGUGAGUAACGCGUGGGUAACCUGCCCUGUACACACGGAUAACAUACCGAAAGGUAUGCUAAUACGAGAUAAUAUAUUUUAAUCGCAUGGUUAAAAUAUCAAAGCUCCGGCGGUACAGGAUGGACCCGCGUCUGAUUAGCUAGUUGGUGAGGUAAUGGCUCACCAAGGCGACGAUCAGUAGCCGACCUGAGAGGGUGAUCGGCCACACUGGAACUGAGACACGGUCCAAACUCCUACGGGAGGCAGCAGUGGGGAAUAUUGCACAAUGGGCGAAAGCCUGAUGCAGCAACGCCGCGUGAGCGAUAGAGGCCUUCGGGUCGUAAAGCUCUGUCCUCAAGGAAGAUAAUGAC
This 417-nucleotide ribosomal RNA is filed under the name uncultured bacterium. Its description in RNAcentral is "bacterial SSU rRNA". It matches the Rfam family "Bacterial small subunit ribosomal RNA", at positions 34 to 455 of the family's 1533-position model. The record is from RNAcentral.